This 315-nucleotide ribosomal RNA is filed under the name Triticum aestivum (bread wheat). Its description in RNAcentral is "partial small subunit ribosomal RNA". Lineage: Eukaryota; Viridiplantae; Streptophyta; Magnoliopsida; Poales; Poaceae. The record is from RNAcentral.
CUUUUUGUUCAUUGUCGCUUCUCGCAGCACGUCUGGAGGCUUUUCAAGACUCGUCUGGGAAUAGACUUUCUUUCGCCGGACGACAGCUUCUGCUCCAUCGAGGAUUGGUGGCUACAGGCCAGAGCAAGAGUGCCCACGAGGAUGCGUCGCAACUUUGUCACCGUCACCAUCCUGAUUCAUUGGUGGCUGUGGAAGGAAAGAAACUCCAGGAUAUUCGAUCAGACGACUAGCAGUGCAGACAGGGUGCUUGAUCUCAUUUGCGAAGACAUUGCCGUCUGGCGACCAGCGGGAUGCGUUAUGGAGCUGGGUGUUUAA